This 1337-nucleotide ribosomal RNA is filed under the name uncultured bacterium. Its description in RNAcentral is "bacterial SSU rRNA". It matches the Rfam family "Bacterial small subunit ribosomal RNA", at positions 28 to 1381 of the family's 1533-position model. The record is from RNAcentral.
GACGAACGCUGGCGGCGUGCUUAACACAUGCAAGUCGAACGGAAAGGCCCUUCGGGGUACUCGAGUGGCGAACGGGUGAGCAACACGUGGGUGAUCUGCCCUGCACUUUGGGAUAAGCCUGGGAAACUGGGUCUAAUACCGAAUAGGACCACGCGCUUCAUGGUGUGUGGUGGAAAGCUUUUGCGGUGUGGGACGGGCCCGCGGCCUAUCAGCUUGUUGGUGGGGUAAUGGCCUACCAAGGCGACGACGGGUAGCCGGCCUGAGAGGGUGACCGGCCACACUGGGACUGAGAUACGGCCCAGACUCCUACGGGAGGCAGCAGUGGGGAAUAUUGCACAAUGGGCGCAAGCCUGAUGCAGCGACGCCGCGUGAGGGAUGACGGCCUUCGGGUUGUAAACCUCUUUCAAUAGGGACGAAGCGCAAGUGACGGUACCUAUAGAAGAAGCACCGGCCAACUACGUGCCAGCAGCCGCGGUAAUACGUAGGGUGCGAGCGUUGUCCGGAAUUACUGGGCGUAAAGAGCUCGUAGGUGGUUUGUCGCGUUGUUCGUGAAAACUCACAGCUUAACUGUGGGCGUGCGGGCGAUACGGGCAGACUAGAGUACUGCAGGGGAGACUGGAAUUCCUGGUGUAGCGGUGGAAUGCGCAGAUAUCAGGAGGAACACCGGUGGCGAAGGCGGGUCUCUGGGCAGUAACUGACGCUGAGGAGCGAAAGCGUGGGGAGCGAACAGGAUUAGAUACCCUGGUAGUCCACGCCGUAAACGGUGGGUACUAGGUGUGGGUUCCUUCCUUGGGAUCCGUGCCGUAGCUAACGCAUUAAGUACCCCGCCUGGGGGGUACGGCCGCAAGGCUAAAACUCAAAGGAAUUGACGGGGGCCCGCACAAGCGGCGGAGCAUGUGGAUUAGUUCGAUGCAACGCGAAGAACCUUACCUGGGUUUGACAUGCACAGGACGCCGGCAGAGAUGUCGGUUCCCUUGUGGCCUGUGUGCAGGUGGUGCAUGGCUGUCGUCAGCUCGUGUCGUGAGAUGUUGGGUUAAGUCCCGCAACGAGCGCAACCCUUGUCCUAUGUUGCCAGCGGGUUAUGCCGGGGACUCGUAGGAGACUGCCGGGGUCAACUCGGAGGAAGGUGGGGAUGACGUCAAGUCAUCAUGCCCCUUAUGUCCAGGGCUUCACACAUGCUACAAUGGCCGGUACAAAGGGCUGCGAUGCCGUGAGGUGGAGCGAAUCCUUUCAAAGCCGGUCUCAGUUCGGAUCGGGGUCUGCAACUCGACCCCGUGAAGUCGGAGUCGCUAGUAAUCGCAGAUCAGCAACGCUGCGGUGAAUACGUUCCCGGGCCU